CAUGUCUUUUUGAUUAUAAUUUAAAGUCUGACCUGCUCAAUGAGAGUUUAAAUAGCCGUAGUAUUUUGACUAUGCUAAGGUAGCAUAAUAAAUAGUUUCUUAAUUAGGAACUGGGAUGAAUGGUUGGACGAAAAAUUUACUGUCUCAAUUUAAAUUUAAUUAGAAUUUUAUUUUUAAGUUAAAAAGCUUAAAUUUAUUUAAAAGACGAGAAGACCCUAUAGAGUUUUAUAUAAUUUUUUAUAUUUAUGAGUUUAAGAAUUUUAUUUUAUUUAUUUAAGUUUAUAUUUAGUUGGGGUGAUUGAAAAAUUUAAUUAACUUUUUUUAAAAAUAAUACAUUAAUUUAUGAUUAAUUGAUCCAUUAUUUAUGAUUAUAAGAUUAAAUUACCUUAGGGAUAACAGCGUUAUUUUUUUUAGAGUUCUUAUCGAAUAAAAAGUUUGCGACC
This 443-nucleotide ribosomal RNA is filed under the name Uroxys sp. dgi2. RNAcentral describes it as "partial 16S ribosomal RNA". The record is from RNAcentral. Lineage: Eukaryota; Metazoa; Arthropoda; Insecta; Coleoptera; Scarabaeidae.